This 439-nucleotide ribosomal RNA is filed under the name uncultured bacterium. RNAcentral's name for it is "partial 16S ribosomal RNA". It matches the Rfam family "Bacterial small subunit ribosomal RNA", at positions 338 to 795 of the family's 1533-position model. The record is from RNAcentral.
CCUACGGGGGGCUGCAGUGGGGAAUAUUGCACAAUGGGGGAAACCCUGAUGCAGCGACGCCGCGUGAGUGAAGAAGUAAUUCGUUAUGUAAAGCUCUAUCAGCAGGGAAGAAAAUGACGGUACCUGCGUACUCAUCCCCGGCUAACUACUUCCCAGCCGCCGCGGUCAUACGUCGGGGGCAAGCGUUAUCCGGAUUUACUGGGGGUAACGGGGUCUUAGACGGUAGUGCAAGUCGGGGGUGAAAGGCGGGGGCUCAACCCCGGACGGCUCGGGAAACUGUACGGCUGGAGUGCAGGAGAGGUAAGUGGAAUUCGUAGUGUAGCGGUGAAAUGCGUAGAUAUUAGGAGGAACACCAGUGGCGAAGGCGGCUUACUGGACUGUAACUGACGUUGAGGCUCGAAAGCGUGGGGAGCAAACAGGAUUAGAUACCCCAGUAGUC